GGUUUUUUUUUAGUGACCAAACCCUAAUCUAAUUUACCGACAAAGCAAAGGAAAUUGAGAUGUGGAGAUGCGAAGCUUAGAUUGAGAGUAAGAGACAAACUGAACCUGAAUCACGUUACCAAGUUUCAAUUGUUCACGAGCUCAAGGAGGUUGAACAACAACUCAUUAUCUGGGCCCUUUCAUGCUUCUCUGUCUUAAAUCCCUCACCUCUCUUUCGUGUUAAGAAGAUGGACAAUCCAUGUGAUCUUAAUUUGCUGCUUGUAACCCAAGCUCCAAGGGUAAGAGAUUUAUAUGAUGAUGACUUUGAGUCUGAAGAAGAUGAGGAAUACAUUGUGGAUAUGGAGUUUGAACUAGAUGUAUAUCAAGAUAUUCCUCUUUCUCAUGAUCCACAAUCUACUUAGUAAGGUUUAUGUUAUAAGGUCUAACUCCUAACACAUCUGCCCAAUUCAUGGUGAUUACUUGAUCUGAAGACAAAAGGAUGAAGACUUGCGAUCCUUUUUUGUAUUUUGUAUGUAUUCAAGAUCAAGACUAUCUAUUUUUUGUGUAUCUCAUGAAUUGGAAGUGUAUUUUGAAUUUGAUGUGUAAAGGAGAAAAUUAUGUUAUCUAUAACAAGUUAUAUAAUUAUGUCUAAAACUUUGUAUCA
Long non-coding RNA from Raphanus sativus (radish), 643 nucleotides. RefSeq lists it as uncharacterized. The transcript has 4 exons. The record is from RefSeq and is a predicted model, not a curated record. Lineage: Eukaryota; Viridiplantae; Streptophyta; Magnoliopsida; Brassicales; Brassicaceae.